GGAUCCUUCGGGAUUAGUGGCGGACGGGUGAGUAACACGUGGGAACGUGCCCUUUGGUUCGGAACAACUCAGGGAAACUUGAGCUAAUACCGGAUGUGCCCUUUGGGGGAAAGAUUUAUCGCCAUUGGAGCGGCCCGCGUCUGAUUAGCUAGUUGGUGAGGUAAAGGCUCACCAAGGCGACGAUCAGUAGCUGGUCUGAGAGGAUGAUCAGCCACAUUGGGACUGAGACACGGCCCAAACUCCUACGGGAGGCAGCAGUGGGGAAUCUUGCGCAAUGGGCGAAAGCCUGACGCAGCCAUGCCGCGUGAAUGAUGAAGGUCUUAGGAUUGUAAAAUUCUUUCACCGGGGACGAUAAUGACGGUACCCGGAGAAGAAGCCCCGGCUAACUUCGUGCCAGCAGCCGCGGUAAUACGAAGGGGGCUAGCGUUGCUCGGAAUUACUGGGCGUAGAGGGAGCGUAGGCGGACUGUUAAGUUAGAGGUGAAAGCCCAGGGCUCAACCUUGGAAUUGCCUUUGAUACUGGCAGUCUUGAGUACGGAAGAGGUAUGUGGAACUCCGAGUGUAGAGGUGAAAUUCGUAGAUAUUCGGAAGAACACCAGUGGCGAAGGCGACAUACUGGUCCGUUACUGACGCUGAGGCUCGAAAGCGUG
Molecule: ribosomal RNA, 649 nt
Filed under: uncultured Caulobacter sp.
Lineage: Bacteria; Pseudomonadati; Pseudomonadota; Alphaproteobacteria; Caulobacterales; Caulobacteraceae
Description: bacterial SSU rRNA
Rfam family: Bacterial small subunit ribosomal RNA
Source: RNAcentral